AAAUUGAAGAGUUUGAUCAUGGCUCAGAUUGAACGCUGGCGGCAGGCCUAACACAUGCAAGUCGAACGGUAACAGGAAACAGCUUGCUGUUUCGCUGACGAGUGGCGGACGGGUGAGUAAUGUCUGGGAAACUGCCUGAUGGAGGGGGAUAACUACUGGAAACGGUAGCUAAUACCGCAUAACGUCGCAAGACCAAAGAGGGGGACCUUCGGGCCUCUUGCCAUCGGAUGUGCCCAGAUGGGAUUAGCUUGUUGGUGGGGUAACGGCUCACCAAGGCGACGAUCCCUAGCUGGUCUGAGAGGAUG
This 305-nucleotide ribosomal RNA is filed under the name Escherichia coli. RNAcentral describes it as "partial 16S ribosomal RNA". It matches the Rfam family "Bacterial small subunit ribosomal RNA", at positions 1 to 302 of the family's 1533-position model. The record is from RNAcentral. Lineage: Bacteria; Pseudomonadati; Pseudomonadota; Gammaproteobacteria; Enterobacterales; Enterobacteriaceae.